GCUUGGAGCUCUCCUAAUGUGAAGACGUCUUUUGGAUCUAAUUCCUUUGGCACGGUCCAAGAGGACAAAGCGACGAGGGAUAUCCCACGCCGUAUGAGGUACAUCCUGAUAGAUUCUCAAAGUGGAUAAUAUCUUCACGUCGGAUUGGACCUGGAUUCCGAUCUCAUGUGACUUGACUGACCUGCGACACUAUCUAUAGCAAGUGGCAAACUCUUAAUGCCACUGUGGUUUGUGCCCAGAAAAGCUAAUC
RNAcentral lists this long non-coding RNA (250 nucleotides) under Elaeis guineensis (African oil palm). RNAcentral's name for it is "long non-coding RNA (EGUI_LNC041301)". The record is from RNAcentral. Lineage: Eukaryota; Viridiplantae; Streptophyta; Magnoliopsida; Arecales; Arecaceae.